AAAACCUACCCUCUCUCUUCAAUAUGCUGCCCCUCUCUCCAGCAUUUUUAGUUUUUUAUUCUUCCAUUUUUUCUUUUAAUUUAUUUUGUUUAAUGUAGGAUUAUGGUUGGUGUUUGAAUUGGGUCAUGGAUCCUUUUUCCCUUCUUCACACAUCACCAGGGAGCCACCCCACCCCCUAUGAGUUUAAUUUUUUUCCUCGUUUUUUUAAUAUAUUUUUC
Molecule: long non-coding RNA, 218 nt
Filed under: Lathyrus oleraceus (garden pea)
Lineage: Eukaryota; Viridiplantae; Streptophyta; Magnoliopsida; Fabales; Fabaceae
Description: Pisum sativum (pea) long non-coding RNA (PSAT_LNC005165)
Source: RNAcentral